GAUGAACGCUAGCUACAGGCUUAACACAUGCAAGUCGAGGGGCAGCAGGAUCUAGCAAUAGAUUGCUGGCGACCGGCGCACGGGUGAGUAACACGUAUCCAACCUGCCGAUAACUCGGGGAUAGCCUUUCGAAAGAAAGAUUAAUACCCGAUGGCAUAAUCAGACCGCAUGGUCUUGUUAUUAAAGAAUUUCGGUUAUCGAUGGGGAUGCGUUCCAUUAGGCAGUUGGUGAGGUAACGGCUCACCAAACCUUCGAUGGAUAGGGGUUCUGAGAGGAAGGUCCCCCACAUUGGAACUGAGACACGGUCCAAACUCCCACGGGAGGCAGCAGUGAGGAAUAUUGGUCAAUGGGCGCAGGCCUGAACCAGCCAAGUAGCGUGAAGGAUGACUGCCCUAUGGGUUGUAAACUUCUUUUAUAUGGGAAUAAAGUUUUCCACGUGUGGAAUUUUGUAUGUACCAUAUGAAUAAGGAUCGGCUAACUCCGUGCCAGCAGCCGCGGUAAUACGGAGGAUCCGAGCGUUAUCCGGAUUUAUUGGGUUUAAAGGGAGCGUAGGUGGACUGGUAAGUCAGUUGUGAAAGUUUGCGGCUCAACCGUAAAAUUGCAGUUGAUACUGUCAGUCUUGAGUACAGUAGAGGUGGGCGGAAUUCGUGGUGUAGCGGUGAAAUGCUUAGAUAUCACGAAGAACUCCGAUUGCGAAGGCAGCUCACUGGACUGCAACUGACACUGAUGCUCGAAAGUGUGGGUAUCAAACAGG
This 754-nucleotide ribosomal RNA is filed under the name uncultured bacterium. RNAcentral's name for it is "bacterial SSU rRNA". It matches the Rfam family "Bacterial small subunit ribosomal RNA", at positions 28 to 776 of the family's 1533-position model. The record is from RNAcentral.